GACGAACGCUGGCGGCGUGCUUAACACAUGCAAGUCGAACGGAAAGGCCCUGCUUUUGUGGGGUGCUCGAGUGGCGAACGGGUGAGUAACACGUGAGUAACCUGCCCUUGACUUUGGGAUAACUUCAGGAAACUGGGGCUAAUACCGGAUAGGAGCUCCUGCUGCAUUGUGGGGGUUGGAAAGUUUCGGCGGUUGGGGAUGGACUCGCGGCUUAUCAGCUUGUUGGUGGGGUAGUGGCUUACCAAGGCUUUGACGGGUAGCCGGCCUGAGAGGGUGACCGGCCACAUUGGGACUGAGAUACGGCACAGACUCCUACGGGAGGCAGCAGUGGGGAAUAUUGCACUAUGGGCGGAAGCCUGAUGCAGCAACGCCGCGUGCGGGAUGACGGCCUUCGGGUUGUAAACCGCUUUCGCCUGUGACGAAGCGUGAGUGACGGUAAUGGGUAAAGAAGCACCGGCUAACUACGUG
Molecule: ribosomal RNA, 468 nt
Filed under: uncultured bacterium
Lineage: Bacteria
Description: partial 16S ribosomal RNA
Rfam family: Bacterial small subunit ribosomal RNA
Source: RNAcentral